GCCGGCGUAGCUCAGUGGAAGAGCGAGGGUCUCAUAAUCCCUAGGCCGUGGGUUCGAUUCCCUCCGCCGGCACCA
This 75-nucleotide transfer RNA is filed under the name Acidipila sp. RNAcentral's name for it is "tRNA-Met". It matches the Rfam family "tRNA". From Rfam's summary of the family: Transfer RNA (tRNA) molecules are approximately 80 nucleotides in length. Their secondary structure includes four short double-helical elements and three loops (D, anti-codon, and T loops). The record is from RNAcentral. Lineage: Bacteria; Pseudomonadati; Acidobacteriota; Terriglobia; Terriglobales; Acidobacteriaceae.